Molecule: ribosomal RNA, 253 nt
Filed under: uncultured bacterium
Lineage: Bacteria
Description: partial 16S ribosomal RNA
Rfam family: Bacterial small subunit ribosomal RNA
Source: RNAcentral
AACGUAGGGUGCGAGCGUUGUCCGGAAUUACUGGGCGUAAAGAGCUCGUAGGUGGUUUGUCGCGUUGUUCGUGAAAUCUCACGGCUUAACCGUGAGCGUGCGGGCGAUACGGGCAGACUAGAGUACUGAAGGGGAGACUGGAAUUCCUGGUGUAGCGGUGGAAUGCGCAGAUAUCAGGAGGAACACCGGUGGCGAAGGCGGGUCUCUGGGCAGUAACUGACGCUGAGGAGCGAAAGCGUGGGGAGCGAACAGG